UACGUAGGGUGCAAGCGUUGUCCGGAAUUAUUGGGCGUAAAGAGCUCGUAGGCGGCUUGUUGCGUCGGCUGUGAAAACCCGCAGCUCAACUGUGGGCUUGCAGCCGAUACGGGCAGGCUAGAAUUCGGUAGGGGAGACUGGAAUUCCUGGUGUAGCGGUGAAAUGCGCAGAUAUCAGGAGGAACACCGGUGGCGAAGGCGGGUCUCUGGGCCGAUAUUGACGCUGAAGCGCGAAAGCCAGGGGAGCGAACGGG
Molecule: ribosomal RNA, 253 nt
Filed under: uncultured bacterium
Lineage: Bacteria
Description: partial 16S ribosomal RNA
Rfam family: Bacterial small subunit ribosomal RNA
Source: RNAcentral